ACCAAUCAAAUUUGAUGAAUUUCUUCCCCACAAAUAUUUCUCAUUGGUUAAUCUAUCGUCAGCUAAAGGACAGAGGAAGAAAGCUUAACGUCUAUUGGUCGCCUGGUAAGACGUGACAUCACAGACCGCAGCUAACCAAUAGGAAGAACGGAACUAAUCUACGGACGUGUUAAAAAAAAUAAGUGAUAUUAAUUACCCUAAAUUAACAUAGCAUUAACAUAUGGAUAAAGAAAGACAUAGAAUAAGGAAAUAAGAAAACCGUGAAUAAGAA
Homarus americanus (American lobster) is the source of this 271-nucleotide long non-coding RNA. RefSeq lists it as uncharacterized. The record is from RefSeq and is a predicted model, not a curated record. The transcript has 2 exons. Lineage: Eukaryota; Metazoa; Arthropoda; Malacostraca; Decapoda; Nephropidae.